ACUAAACCAAGAUCAUACUAGUAAAUGGAGAAGAGAUCUGAACCCACCUGCCCUGGCUUCAGAGUCUACAGGCUUGCUUAGCUGAGAUCAUCCACAGGAGAAGAGGGGACUGGUCAUCGGGGGUUGGCUGGAAUGAUGAUGCAGUGGAACUGGGGUGGGUUCGUGAUGCUAUGUACCCUUCUAUGCAGCACUCGUUAAGCAUUGUGCCAUGUGUACAACACUAGGCCAGGUGUUGCCCUCAAGCAGGAGCUCAGCAAAAAGGAGAAGUCAAAGAUGAUGGGGACCUCACCUUCAAGAUCUCAGAAUUUCGGAGAAUGUUUCACAGCCAUCCAAAGUAAUGCAAAAGCACUCCUUUUGAAUAAAGGCCAGGUGCGAUGGCUUAUGCUUGUAAUACCAGCACUUUGGGAGGCCAAGGCGAGUGGAUCACUCGAGUCCAGGAGUUUGAGACCAGCCUGGGCAACAUGGCAAAACCCUGUCUCUAUAAAUAAAUAAAUAAAUAAAAUUUACAGGC
Pongo pygmaeus (Bornean orangutan) is the source of this 511-nucleotide long non-coding RNA. RefSeq lists it as uncharacterized. The transcript is spliced from 3 exons. The record is from RefSeq and is a predicted model, not a curated record. Lineage: Eukaryota; Metazoa; Chordata; Mammalia; Primates; Hominidae.